UCAAAAUGAAAACUUAAAAGGAAAACAAAAUAAAGCUCACUAAUUACAAAGGCAAGCAACUUACUGAAUCCCAGUCAAAUCAUACGUCCCCUAGGCUACCUAUUUUAACAAAAUAAAAUAUCUGCCAGGGCUUGCCACUCAUUAAGAUAUCACUUGGGAAAACACAGCAAAGACUUUGGGGUAUUCAUCAGUUUGGAGGUUACAACUUCAAUUUGGACAGCCACAAGAGCCUCCAUCAAAUCCUUGCAACUACUGGAAAGGAGUGUGGAGAACCACUAAAACAGGGUAAGAUGUUGUAACAGGGAAGGAGGAGAAAGAAAGGGAAAUGUAUGGAAAAUGGAAUACAUCAGGGCAAUGCUGCUGCUGCUAUACUAAUCCCAUUGUAAUUGCUCAGUAUAUAAAGGAAUACUGCAAGCUGCUUCAUCUGGGCUCAGGCACAUGCUCCCUCUUACCUUCUGCCCCUUGCCUCACUCCCAGUCCUUUGUUGAAGAUGGCAGCCUACCCCACAAUGUAAACAAAAGCAAAUACCAACAGAUAAACCAAAUUACAACCAAGAAGCAACUUCCUCAUUUUUCUUUCUCUUGCAAAGAUACUGCAUCCUUCCCUCCAGGCAGGUGCACUCUUUCAUCCGCACGCGUAGAAACAAGGAAAUAACCUAAGAGAAAGAAUCUAAACAGGGGUGCAGGGAUCCUGAAUAUCUACCUCUAAACCAGAAAAAUGCCAGGCUGCAAGAACUUUUGCUGUUUAUCUUUACCAAUGAGCCUAUAAUGAAAAAUAAAGAGCACAUUAUGGAAUCACUAGGCACUGCAAAGGGACAGCACCUAAACCCACUGUCCCUGGGUGCAGGGCUACAGUGGUGCAGCCCAUGCCCGAGCAUACAAGUCACAAAAUGAAUAACACUUGCCAGCUGUUCUGUAAAGUCUACACACUUCAAUUUAGCCACUAUAAUCAGCGCCAAUGAAUUUUUUGACUGUUUAGCUGAAUGUACUCCAAGGGGAUCCUGCCUUUUUGCUAAAAUGAUGUUCACGCUAUCUAAUUCUCCUGCACACCCAAUGCAGGAGCACUUUUUAAAACUCUACUAAAAAGUUUGAUGUAUAGUCUGAAUUUGCAGUUACAUAAUCAAAUAUUAUAAAGAAACAACUUUAUUUUACCCACAUCAAUACAUGACUACCAUAACAGAAAAGGUGUGACCAGAGCAAUUCUGGCUAAAGCAGUCAGAAACCUGGAAUCAACUCCAAAUAUCCAAUACCCAAAUAUUUCUACACUGUUCUGGCAAUAGAAAAGUGACAUAUCAAGGGUGUAAAUUAGGGAAAAGGGAUUGCUAUGAAUCAUGUAUCUACACUACCUGUUGUGGCUCACUAUUUAAUUACUUAAGAUAAACAUAUAAUCACCAAUCAAAUCCAAAGAAAGACUCAAAGCUAUUUAGGACUCUCUGAAAAAAGCAAGUUCCAAGUCUUGUAUAAAGGGAAGCAACUGUCAUGCUCUGUAGGACUUUUUUGAAUUAAGUCUCCCAGCAAGAAGGAGGGACUAUGUAAUCGCAUAGACCUUAACACAGGCAAAAUCUGCCUGGUGGAGUGAAAUUAAAUCUUGAGUCAGUUUUAUAAGGAGUAAAAACUUUGGGCAGAAACAAGCUGAAUUUUGGGAAACAGUCCUGUGGCAUCUUAAAUAACAUAUAUGAAACUAUUUUUCAGGACUACAGCUUUCUGUAGGACUACAUAUGCUUUCUCUGUCAGAGAAAAUUGACUCAAGUCAACAAAAGGGCAAGUGUGUCCUGCCUGCAAAAUUUGGCCCACAGAGUCCAAGCAGUUUUCAGGACUAAGCACGGACCUCACUGAUGCUGGCAAGCAAAGUCAUGAAGUACAUCCUGCCUUUUUAUUUUAUAUUUGACAAACAAAAGCUCAUUAUAGGUGGUGAGAAUGGGAAACCAAUUUUCCAACUUAACUCAUUGUGAGAAUUUCUUUGAACCUGAACUUUGGAGCAAGGAUCUAGGGAACUGAUUGUUCAGAACAUAUGAAAUUGGGAAUAAAUUACAGAUUUAAAGGACUCCUAUCAGUUUCACAACAGCCUGGCAUAAGGACAAAGGAAACAGGACACCCCGAAAAACAAUGAAGCUUGUUGAAGAUACUUGUGAAGACAUAGUUUUAAAUGUGGUGACACUUAUUUCACCAAUAAAUAGGAACUAUAAAUUGUUUACAAGUUAUUAAUAUAUAAAAAAAGAGAAGCAGCAGAUACUGGAGAUUCAGUCUUUUCCUCUAAGUGGCACAGGUGAAGAGCAAGUCCCUUGUAUGGAGUUCAAGCAUUUCCCUCUCCUGGGAGGACCCCUGUCUUUGGUGCAAACAUCCCCAAAGUGGGACACUCCCCUCUUAUUUAACCUUGCAGCAAAUAGCUUUAAAAUCCCUCUCUGUCCCAGCACAGUAGCACAGAGCAACAUCAUCUUAGUACAAGGCUCUCCCUCUCGUGGUGACAGUGUUACCUACUUCAACUGUUGUUCCUCAAAAGCUGUACUAAACAGAAAAGAAGUGCAAAAAGGAGCUGAAUGUAAAUGCUGACAACCACUGAAACGUGAGACCGUUGCUUGCAUUAGCCCUGGAAGUCUACUUGGGCAACGAGGAGAUGGAAAAUGAAAGUAAUAAUGAAAACCAUAUACUAGAAUAAAGCUAAUAUUUGGACAGAGUCUUCCCUUGAUAUUUAUAUCAUUCAAGGAAAGUUGCCAAUGCAAGAAUAUUUAGAACUGUAAAAUUGAUAUCACCUCCUGUUUUCUCUCUCCUUAGAAAAGCAGAAAAUAUGCACAUAUGAAAUGAGCUUCUUAAAACAUCACAAUUCUCAAGAUGAGUAUUUCUUCAGAGAAUGAAAAAGAAAGGAUACAUGUUCAAAAAAAGCAAGAUUUCUGGAAUCACGAAUGACUGACUGUCUUUUAUGUAGAAGAUAUGUUAAAAUAGUGUUCACCAGCUGAUUAUUUUGUUAGUUUCACUUUCCCUUAGGCAAUUGUAUCUGUACACACUGCAUUCUAAAAGUACAGUCUCUAGUGUGGAUAAUCUACCUGUUUGGUACCAUCCUGUUUGUAAAACCACUUCUUAGCCUAAAAAUAUAAACUGUAAACUGUAUAACAUGCAAAAUGAAUUGAGGUGUUUAAAAAAGCAUUAGGAAAAAUAAAAGGCAACAAAGAAAUUAAAUCAAGAAACACAUUAAACUAGUAUUUAUGCUAAAUGAAUUACUGAACCUUACAAAGGAUUAGCAGGCCAAGUGUGGAAUGGGUAUGCAGCCAUUUAAAUGAUCUGGUAUUCCCAGUCAAGUGAGAACACUCUCUACAGAAAUAUGUAUGUUUCAGCAUUCAGUCAAAGGAAAAGGCAAAGGGCAUGGUCAGAAAAUGUGGACCACUGAAUCAGCACUCUGUUGCAGCAGCUAAUUGGAAUUAAUUUGGGAAAUGGCACCUGUUUGGCUUAAUGGGACAAAGCUCACCCUUCAUGCAAAAAUCUAGUUUUGUUAUCUGCGUAACUAAUAUUGAGAGGAUAGUCCCCUCCUUCCCGUACAAAUGGGUAUACACAGAGUAAAGGAAAGCCAGACUUAGAAAUCGCUGCUGGAAGACCAUAACUUUUAAACUCCAAGUAGAAAGAAAAAGUAUGUGGUAGUGGCCUCCACGUACGUGCAAAUGGCAGAUGACAAGAGAGAAUGCCAGCACUUGAUAAUUCUCAUUCUUGAAGUUCUCAUUUUAAAAUCCCAAGCUGUGGCAUAGGUAACGCUUUCCCUCUCUUCUUACUCUAAAAAAACUUUAUCAAUUUGCAGUGACACAGAUUUGCUCGUUCUCAUUGAAAAUGGUUUGUAACUGAUGUGACCAUCUCUCAUUUCUUCUCUCAUGUCUUCACAAUUAGAAGAAAUGAGACAAAAUUAAUACCUCCUCCACAACCCUCAUCCACUUGAUUUUGAACAUUUUCAUUUAGAGGUGAUAUGUUAUCCACCAAAGGAAAGAAAGUCAGCUGAAUUAGAUGUACCUCAAUUAGAAAAGUAAACAUAAAUGUCCAUACUCUCAUAAUUUUGCACUCUUAAUUUUGAACCAAGGCUUGCUGCCUGGGCCAUCUGUUGCAAGGUGUGAAUACAGAAAGGACACCCAAAGUCAUGAGCCUUGGGUGUCAAUCAGCUGUUCCUGGGCACUUUGGAUCUAGAUGUUAACAUAUCCCUAGUGACAUAUUUUUCAGAAGUUUUGUGGUAACAAUUAAAGUCCAAUGGGACUGACCCAAAAUUCAAAACCAACAGGAAUGUACUAUGAAGAUUGUAAAGGGAACAUUCACCUAGAAAAGCUUAUGAACUGAAACUAAAACUUUCAGAGGUUGUUUUCAUUUGAAAAAGGGGUGAUCAAGUGGAUAAGUAAGGAUCCAACUGGAAUAUAUUAAUAGUUGUGGAUGGAGGUAUUUCUUAUUCAAUCCACAUUCUGUGUAACUAUACAGAGAACAAUGUUUUUUCUACCCCACCGUAGUGCAGAGGAUAAUUUUAGGAAAUCUUAAAACUUUAAAGAAAUAGGAUUUGGAAGGAGUGAAAGACCACUUUUGCCAUCGUUCUCCAAGGCUAGGAAUGGAAGAGGAAAAGUCUGACGUACACUUUUAGAAAUGAAAUAACAGGACAUCUUAGAAGAGAGCUAAUAGAUAUUUGUGUUGAUUGAUUGUUCUUCUGAUAUGAAAGGGUAGCAAGGAACAAUCUCUAUUUUUUGUACAGCUUAAUACUGUUUUACCUUUUCUUUAAAAAAAUUACUUUUCUACAUCUUACUACAUAGAGAUUUUAAGAAAGCCUGAAAAAAUGCUUGUAAAGACAAUAAAGAAGCCAAUAAUAUGAAACAACACAAUAGAGCUGUAAUAAUUAUUGGUAAAUGCUUCAAAUAGCUGCAGCAGUUGAUUGGGUUGUGAAUGAUAAAUGUGAAAAAUUAUUUUUCUAUGAUCGUAGGCAGAUGCAAAAGUUAAAUGAUUAUACUAUGUAUAUAUAUUGAUAUAGAAUUGCUAUAUAUAUUGUGUACUGUAUGUUCUAGCUUUCAGAAAUACUGUAUUGUAGUGUACUGUACUUAACUAAGCAGAUCUAAAUAGCAACUUGUCAUUUUCCACAAAGUCACUAGUACUGUUAACAAAAACCAAAAAGUCUAUUUUCUCCAGUAAAAGAAAUACAUACUGUUACAGUCACAGACAUUUGGACUAUAAAGAGACAAUGUACAUUUAACCAAAGGAAAACCCCAAACCAAAAUAAAAAUCUCACCCAAAAAUCAACCAGCCAAAACUGUUGCAUUAUUGUCUUAUUCAAAAGGGGAAGGGACAUGCCACCAGUCUAAGAAGAAUAUUUACUCACAUUUUUAUGACUGAAAAUGAAAGAAAAAAGGUAGCCCACUAAAUCUUUAAUUACCCUUUCUGGAACAAGGAAAAUCCCCUAGUCUGGCAAAAGACUUAAAAGAAUAAAAUGCUGCUUUCAGGGCUAGCAUAUACCAAAAUAGGCAGCUGUAGUUAAACAUAUUCAACCCACUAACUAAAUGGGUGCAAAAUGAGUUCUAGAAAUUCUGCAGCUCUCAUGGAUUAUAUGUUGAAUGAUCUUACUGACCAAUUUCUUCUCCUCCUGAAUAUCUACUGAUAUUCAGAUAAUACCCACUAACCAUGAUCCUGAAGAGAUUUUGGCAAAGACCAAGGGAGAGAAUGUUACUUGUUAUUUGUUAUUGACUGCACAUUUGGAAUGGAUUACUCAAUCAAUAUGUUUCAGAGUACCUGAGGUGGGGAAAGAGCUGUUUGACACGAUGCUUUGGAAACUAGAGACUCCAGACCUGGAAUAUUUUAGACCCUAUCAAUAUAUUGUGCUGCUAACUAUUUAAAGGCUUGAUAAUUUUUUACUGUUAUUUUUAAGAGAGCAAACAGGCAGGUUAUUUUGCUUUGGAUUUUAUUCCUUUGUCAGGUAAACAUGUUGAAAUUCAAUGGAAAUGAGUGACUGAACUCAACAGUAUUGUUCCAGGGCUGCCAUCCCCCGUGGAUGCCUCUCUCUGCUAGUGAAGCCUGCUGAGAUGGACUGUUUUAUUUAUUUUGUGGCAGAAUGACAACAUAAGGCUCUGGGAGGCACACUUCAGCCUUCCCUUCAGAAUGGGUGCUCACAAAAAUAUCCUGGACCAAAUUUGGGUGUCACAUUUUCAUCCUAUUUGGGCAAACAUCCAACUAAGAGCAUCUGGCUAACAGAAUGCUUUUUUUGAAUAUAUGUGUGCAUAUAUAGUGUAUGAGUAGUAUACUUGCUUUUCAUUAGAGUCAUGUGCCAAUGCUCCACAGUUAAUUCUGUAAUCCUUGUUUCGUCUAAAGCCUUCCCUGCAUCAAAACCAUGCAUGUCCACACACUCAAUUAGCAAGCUCUCUGUAAAGCCAGGAAGAAGUGUUUGGCUUUCCCUGCACAUGCACAUACACACACACAGACACGCACCCACAGGCAAUAUAAUGUGAUUUUACUCAAAGAUCCCAUAGGUACCAACAGCCUAUGUGACAAAUGAAAGUAAAGGACUAAAUGGGAAAAAUUAAAAGAAAUCUGGGCAGUUGGGUGAAUAUAAUCCUGUUUCUUGAAUGCGAUGAUCCUCUUUAAUCAAGUAUAUCUUCAACAUGAGGGCUGAACUUCUAGGAGGCUUUAUAUGGUUUAAUGAAGAAAAUGGCAAUAUCCAGGUGGCAGAAAGAGAAGCAGCAAAGUGAAAUAGAAGAGGUUCCCAAUUAACAUCUAGAUCUCAGAAAUGUAUCUGCCCAUUUUGUAGGAAAAUGAUCUCAGAAAGAUACCUGCCUGUUUUGUAGGAACAGGACACUGCAGAAUCAGACAGUUGAGCACAAGUACCUAACUGAGCUCUGCACAUUCCUUGAGUGCCCCUGUGAACUUGGCAAAAAAAUCACCAACAAGUCAGUAGUAGACAGACCGAACACUGCAGAAGCCUGCAGGUCUGUCUGGAAAAUACCUAAAGCAAGCAAUGCUUUAUUACACUGGUACAAGAUUUUCCAGCAGGGACGCCUCCAGUGGGGAACUCAUGAAAGCAUAUAUAGUGUUACUGUAAUACCUAAGCCCAACGUGACAGAGAGCAUUUAUAAGAGGGAUGCUUGGGGCAUGGCUGCAUGGCUGUGAAGGAAAUUUCACAGCUCAAAGAGGGCUCAAGUGCUAAUAAAGUUUGCAUGAGGAGUGAAAACAAUAAUGCCCCCUUGGGCUGAACUGGGUAGAACUUCUCACAUGUGAUGGGAUAUUGGUAGUUCUUUUGUUUGUGUAAUGGUGCAGCAAAAGGAUAUUUUUAGAACAUACUUUUCUUAAAAAGAAUCAAGCUAAACUAACCAAAGGGGCUAUAUUUAUCUGCAGUGAA
Molecule: long non-coding RNA, 7332 nt
Filed under: Taeniopygia guttata (zebra finch)
Lineage: Eukaryota; Metazoa; Chordata; Aves; Passeriformes; Estrildidae
Description: lncRNA (ENSTGUG00000022562.1)
Source: RNAcentral